This is a non-coding RNA of Anaerolineae bacterium SM23_84, 178 nucleotides long. Lineage: Bacteria; Bacillati; Chloroflexota; Anaerolineae. The record is from Rfam.
CGUCAGCUGCUGUGUUUGUGAUGCGCCAAGGAGUUUUGAGCCAACAGUAAAAGAAUCGGGGAUGUCGUUUCUUGCGGGGCUGUAGUAGCUCGCAGGAGUGAGGCAAAACCGCGAGGCUAGUUCCCCACCUGCGAUAGCAGGUUCAAAACCACAGCGCGCACGGCAUGGCGGCGGCGCA